RNAcentral lists this ribosomal RNA (1751 nucleotides) under human gut metagenome. RNAcentral describes it as "bacterial LSU rRNA". It matches the Rfam family "Bacterial large subunit ribosomal RNA", at positions 1104 to 2925 of the family's 2925-position model. The record is from RNAcentral.
GCUUAGAAGCAGCCACUCAUUAAAAGAGUGCGUAAUAGCUCACUGGUCGAGUGACUCUGCGCGGAAAAUAUAACGGGGCUAAGCGUAACACCGAAGCUUGGGCUGCACAGCAAUGUGCGGGGUAGGGGAGCGUCGAAUAUGGGGUGAAGUCGCAGCGGAAGCAGCGGUGGACUGUAUUCGAGUGAGAAUGCCGGAAUGAGUAGCGAGAAUUAUGUGGGAAUCAUAAUGGCCGAAAAUCUAAGGUUUCUUGGGGAAGGUUCGUCCGCCCAAGGUAAGCCGGGAGCUAAGGCGAGGCCGAAAGGCGUAGUCGAUGCACAUACGGUAGAAAUUCCGUAGCCACCGAACUUUAAGUCAGAGGGACACUUUUGGAUAGCGGAACCCGGGCGUUGGUUGACCCGGGCGAAAGGGAGCGAAAAUAUAGUAGCGAAGUCCGCGAUGCUGAGAGGCGAGAAAAGCUCUGAUGGAUACUAAGGUGCCCGUACCGCAAACCGACACAGGUAGAUGAGGAGAGAAUCCUAAGGCCAACGGGAGAAGGGUUGUUAAGGAACUCGGCAAAAUGACCCCGUAACUUCGGGAUAAGGGGAGCCUCCUACGGGAGGCCGCAGCGAAUAGGCCCAAGCGACUGUUUACCAAAAACACAGGUCUCUGCUAAAUCGAAAGAUGACGUAUAGGGGCUGACGCCUGCCCGGUGCUGGAAGGUUAAGAGGAGAUGUUAGCCGCAAGGCGAAGCAUUGAAUCGAAGCCCCAGUAAACGGCGGCCGUAACUAUAACGGUCCUAAGGUAGCGAAAUUCCUUGUCAGGUAAGUUCUGACCCGCACGAAUGGCGUAACGACUUGGGCGCUGUCUCAACAGCCCACCCGGCGAAAUUGUUGUACUGGUGAAGAAGCCAGUUACCCGCAACUAGACGGAAAGACCCCAUGGAGCUUUACUGUAGCUUAAUACUGGAAAUCGGUAAAUCAUGUACAGGAUAGGUGGGAGACUUGGAAGCCAGGGCGUCAGCUUUGGUGGAGUCACCCUUGGGAUACCACCCUUGAUUUGCUGGUUUUCUAACCUGCGGCCGUGAAUCCGGUCGGGGGACACUGUUAGGUGGGCAGUUUGACUGGGGCGGUCGCCUCCUAAAAGGUAACGGAGGCGCUCAAAGGUUCGUUCAGCACGGACGGAAACCGUGCAGUGAGUGUAAACGCAUAAACGAGCCUAACUGCGAGACCGACGGGUCGAGCAGUAACGAAAGUUGGAGUUAGUGAUCCGGCGGUAUGUGAGUGGAAAUGCCGUCGCUCAACGGAUAAAAGCUACCCUGGGGAUAACAGGCUGAUCUCCCCCAAGAGUCCACAUCGACGGGGAGGUUUGGCACCUCGAUGUCGGCUCAUCGCAUCCUGGGGCUGAAGUAGGUCCCAAGGGUUGGGCUGUUCGCCCAUUAAAGCGGUACGCGAGCUGGGUUCAGAACGUCGUGAGACAGUUCGGUCCCUAUCUGUCGUGGGCGUAGGAUAUUUGAAAGGAGCUGUCCCUAGUACGAGAGGACCGGGAUGGACGCACCUCUGGUGCACCAGUUGUCACGCCAGUGGCACAGCUGGGCAGCUAUGUGCGGAACGGAUAAACGCUGAAGGCAUCUAAGCGUGAAGCCGCCCUUAAGAUAAGAUAUCCCUUCUGUUUACAGAGUAAGACCCCUUGAAGACUACAAGGUUGAUAGGCUCAAAGUGUAAGCACGGUGACGUGUUUAGCUAGCGAGUACUAAUCGGUCGAGGGCUUAACCU